AGUAACUGCGAGCGAAAGGGGAUCAGCCCAAAGCCUAAUCGCGCGUUCUAUGAGCGUCGUGACAUGUGGCGUAUGGAAGGCUUCACCUCCGGAACUGGACCGUGGUUUAAGUCCCCGUGAAUGGGGCACGACCCACAGCGGGUGCAAGGCCCGUAUUUCCACGCGUCCUAUUCCGGAGAGAGGCUUCUUCCGGGAGUCGGGUUGCUUGAAAGUGCAGCCCAAAGUGGGUGGUAAACUCCACCUAAGGCUAAAUAUUACCGAGAGACCGAUAGCAAACAAGUACCUUGAGGGAAAGUUGAAAAGAACUUUGAAGAGAGAGUUCAAUAGUACGUGAAACCGCUUAGAGGUAAACGGGUGGGACCUCGAAAACUGAAGGCGGAUGGAUUCAGUUCUGGCACUGACUUGAGCCCGGCGCCUGUCCUGGGCACACCCUCACGAGGGGGGUGGCCUGGACGUGUGUCGCCGGAUGCCAGAGCGCACUUCCAUUCCGUCGGUAAGACGUCGCGACCGGUUGAUAGCUCGUCGGAAGGAUUACGGAUGCAGGUGGCCUAUCGCCCUCGGGCGGUAGGUGUUACAGCGCCGUUUUAUAGCCGACGAGUCUUCGACCGUGGAUGAGAGUUAUCCUCGUGAAGCGUUCCUUCGACCCUAGGGUCGAGCGGAGGAGGGCGCAGGCGUCCGAACCUGUCGAAGUCACCCUCGCGGUGGCCCGGCAACUAGGGCGUCGCGCGUUCUUCUAUCCGUCUUGGAACCAGAGGUCAGCGACGAGUAGGUCGGUAUCCCACCCGACCCGUCUUGAAACACGGACCAAGGAGUCUAAAGCGUAUGCGAGCUCCCGGGAGUUGAAUAUCCCCGAGAGCGCAAUGAAAGUGAAGGCGCGCCCUCGUGGCGCGCCUAGUUGGGAUCCGCGAUAGCGGCGCACCAACUGCCCGUCCCGUCAGCAUGUCUGUGGGGCGGAGCCAGAGUAUACGCUCUGGGACCCGAAAGAUGGUGAACUAUGCCUUGGCAGGACGAAGCCAGAGGAAACUCUGGUGGAGGUCCGUAGCGAUUCUGACGUGCAAAUCGAUCGUCAGACCUGGGUAUA
This 1081-nucleotide ribosomal RNA is filed under the name Apochthonius sp. JM-2008. RNAcentral describes it as "eukaryotic LSU rRNA". It matches the Rfam family "Eukaryotic large subunit ribosomal RNA", at positions 82 to 919 of the family's 3401-position model. Lineage: Eukaryota; Metazoa; Arthropoda; Arachnida; Pseudoscorpiones; Chthoniidae. The record is from RNAcentral.